CAAGUCGAGAAGGACAUCUUCUUCUUCCUCUCCAGUGGUAACAACAACUUCUUCAAGCCUAACGAUUGGAGCAACCUGAGCUCCUGUAUCUUCGUCUUCACCGGCUGCACUUCUGUUGCCUCUUCCUCUCCCUCCUCUUUGCGCUUGGCCUCGUUACUCGCCAUGAUCACUGCAAAGAACAACAUAACAGAAGUAAUCGGGAAGAGAGAUGCA
Telopea speciosissima is the source of this 213-nucleotide long non-coding RNA. RefSeq lists it as uncharacterized. The record is from RefSeq and is a predicted model, not a curated record. The transcript is spliced from 4 exons. NCBI's taxonomy places the organism in Eukaryota, Viridiplantae, Streptophyta, Magnoliopsida, Proteales, Proteaceae.